Molecule: long non-coding RNA, 904 nt
Organism: Ipomoea nil (Japanese morning glory)
Lineage: Eukaryota; Viridiplantae; Streptophyta; Magnoliopsida; Solanales; Convolvulaceae
Exons: 3
Source: RefSeq, a predicted model, not a curated record
AUAGCAUUCUGUUUCCCUUCGGCUUUUCUAACCCGCAAAGGCCCAAACCAAACCAAACAUCAGAGUUGAAGAAUAGAAGGAUUUUAGCUUUUGAUUUCGGGUGAUCCAUCAAUUUAAUGGGUCGACGUCGGCUAAUCAAAACCAUCGUAGCGGGUGCAAGUAGGGAUUUAAUAAGUCUUCUACCGGUAGAGGUAAAGCACAGAAUUUUGGAGUGUUUGCCCAUCCGAGACGUCGCCAGAACUACUCUACUCUCAACCCACUGGAAUGAUGUUUGGUUACAGCAUGGGAGUCUUGCGUUCGAUUGUGACUUCACAUAUAGUGUCGAACAGGGCCACGAUGAUGAAUGCAGAACUCUCUUUGACAUAAUAAAUAAUAUUCUCCUUUCCCGUGCUGGACCGGUUAAGAAAUUUACUCUACAGAUUGGUAAUUAUUAUCCUGUGCGGCAGUCUGAUUUCAAUAGGUUGUGUUUUUUUCUAUCAAGAAAUGGUGUGGAGGAGCUUAACAUAUGUCUUUUUAAUUGUGGAGAGGAUGAAUAUAAGCUGCCAUUUUGUAUACUCUCGUGCCGGACAAUUAAGCAAUUGAGUGUCGAAGGUCCCUUUAUUGUUGCCCGUAAAUAAUGUUGGUGGCAUAUUUUCCAAUGUCACUUCAUUAUUUUUCCAGGAUGUUGAAUUUAGACACACUGUUAAUGAAACUGCCUCUAGUAUUAGUAUUCCAAACCUUGAGAAGCUGGCUUUCCAAUUUUGUGGAGGGAUUAAUAAAUUUAAGAUCAGCACACCAAAACUUGAAAUGUUGUCUGUUCGUAAUUUUGUGCAUGAUGUGGUUGAAUCAAGAUGGUUGACACCACAUUUGAAAACAAUUAAGGCUCUUUGGUUGUGUGGCUCUUCCUUGUGGUAUAUGAACAGAU